UGUCAGCUGAUGCUGAACAAACCAAUUGAUCACCUCAUUGGAGGUGGAGCCUGUAGGCUGUUGCAUCCUUGUCCGAUUCCUUGUCAGAAAAGCGGAGACCCAAAAUUGGCCGGUAACAGUAUGCCUCCAUGAAAGAAUGGCUACACUAUAAUUGGCCAUAAUAAAAGUAUAAAAUUAAACUACUGUAUACUUCAGUGGGCUGGAGUGUGGGGCUGGAUAACCAGGAGCUCAAAUCUUGCUGUGCCUCCUGGAGAGAUCACUGCUCUGCAUCCUUGAGCAAGCUAUGCACUCCCAUAUUACCACCAGAAGGAAGGACUGGUAAACCAUUGCUGACUACUUUCCAUCCAGCUCUGUUCUUUGCUUUUGUGGAGUUACUGGUGUUAACUUCCAUUUUAAAGUGAUUAGAUAUCCCCAGGAGAAUAUAAUGCAAAAUGGAUUAUGCCUGAUGACAUUUGCAAAAGUGCUACAAUGUCUCUGAAAAAUUUCUGAAAGUCUUGUUCAUGCCAACUGUCCAAGCCAGAUGAAAACUUACUCAGUUGUAAUUGGUGAGGGAAGAGCAAACGAUGCUCUAGUUAUGCAGUAAGUAGCAUUCUGCCUGAUGAUAAUUUCUAUAAGCUCAGCCAGGAAGAGGUUAUUUAUGUCUUGUCUGCUGCAUCUGCAUGCAGCCUAACUUGUUGGAGAUAGUGAUAUCUAUCUGCUAAAAAGGAUUUCUUAAAAGUGUGAGACACAGCUUUUUUCUAUGGGAUUUCAGUUUAAAAUUUUGUCAGGAAAAGAGUGCUGGUUGGUAUCACCGCUAUUGCAUUUAUUUGUAAUUACUUGAAUUAUUUGCAUCCUUAGGAGUAACCUGUGUUUUAACAUCUCUUUGUUCUUCUUCUUUUCUUAAUUCCUCACACAAAUGCUUGGCUGAAUGGAUGGAAGGCUAAAUCAGUAGUGGGGACAUGGACUUGCAUAUAAACCUUGCCCCUCAAAGGUUUCCAUGCACCUGACCAACAUUCCCUCUAAUUUUCUGUCCCACUGUGCGGGAGCCUCGUUGUGUGUGCAGGGUUGACAGGCCUUCAUUCAAAAUGGGAAGUAAACAAACCAAGCUACCAGUUGCCGGUGCCCAGCCCCAAUGGAACUCUGGAAUCUUCACUGGAUGACCUCAGAUCCUACAUAUGAGGUAUAUUGAAAAAUGAGGCAUAUUGAAAAAACGGAAUACUGCAAUCAAUCAUCUUAAAAUGUAUGAAGAUGUGAUAGUGCAAAAACAACUUUUAACAUGUUC
Pogona vitticeps (central bearded dragon) is the source of this 1261-nucleotide non-coding RNA. NCBI's taxonomy places the organism in Eukaryota, Metazoa, Chordata, Lepidosauria, Squamata, Agamidae. The record is from RefSeq and is a predicted model, not a curated record.